RNAcentral lists this ribosomal RNA (220 nucleotides) under uncultured bacterium. RNAcentral describes it as "partial 16S ribosomal RNA". It matches the Rfam family "Bacterial small subunit ribosomal RNA", at positions 1281 to 1500 of the family's 1533-position model. The record is from RNAcentral.
GACGACCUCAGUUCCGAUUGAAGGCUGAAAUUCGCCUUCCAUGAAGUCGGAAUUGCUAGUAAUGGCAGGUCAGCAUACUGCCGUGAAUACGUUCCCGGGCCUUGUACACACCGCCCGUCACACCAUGAGAGUUGGAGAUACCCGAAGCCUAUGAGCUAACUUUUAGAGGCAGUAGUCGAAGGUAGAAUCAAUGAUUGGGGUGAAGUCGUAACAAGGUAAC